This 779-nucleotide ribosomal RNA is filed under the name uncultured Neocallimastigales. Its description in RNAcentral is "partial large subunit ribosomal RNA". It matches the Rfam family "Eukaryotic large subunit ribosomal RNA", at positions 22 to 635 of the family's 3401-position model. Lineage: Eukaryota; Fungi; Neocallimastigomycota; Neocallimastigomycetes; Neocallimastigales. The record is from RNAcentral.
GUACACGCUGUGACUAGCAUAUCAAUAAGCGGAGGAAAAGAAACUAACAAGGAUUCCCCUAGUAACGGCGAGUGAAGCGGGAAGAGCUCAAAUUUGAAAUCUUAAAGGGUUUCCCUUUACGAAUUGUAGUUUAAAGAGGUGUUUUCUGUUGAGGUUUUGGUAAAAGUUCUUUGGAAUAGGACAUCAUAGAGGGUGAGAAUCCCGUAUUUGACCUUUACUUUCAACUUUGUGAUACACUUUCAAAGAGUCGGAUUGUUUGGGAAUGCGAGUCCAAAAUGGGUGGUAAAUUUCAUCUAAAGCUAAAUAUUGGCGAGAGACCGAUAGCGAACAAGUACCGUGAGGGAAAGAUGAAAAGAACUUUGAAAGGAGAGUUAAACAGUACGUGAAAUUGUCAAAAGGGAAGCGUUUGACACCAGUGUUGUUUUUCUGAAAAUCAAUUAAAGAACUGUUUAUGCUAAGUCUGUUUAGACUUUAUCAGCUAUACUGUUUAGUUUUGAGCUUUUCUUUAAUGCACUUUUCAGUUAACUAAGUCAACAUCAAUUUCUUUUGCUGUAAAAAAGCUUGAGGAAGGUGGCUUGAGAUUCGUCUUAAGUGUUUAUAGCCUCUUGCCUAUGCAGUCGGAGAGAUUGAGGUCUGCAGCGUAGAUCCUUCAGGGGCUAAAUGCAUUUGUGCUAAGUUAUAGCAUUUUAUAGACAACUUGUUGACUAUGAUUUGUCUUGUAGCUUACUCGCUUAUGUUAUUUUACCUACGCUUAGGAUGUUGAAGAUGUAGCACAUCAU